Molecule: unclassified non-coding RNA, 200 nt
Filed under: soil metagenome
Description: partial contains internal transcribed spacer 2 and large subunit ribosomal RNA
Source: RNAcentral
GAAGGCUGCUGGCGUCAUUGUCAGCUCCUUUUAAAUGCAUUAGUGGAACUAUGAAGGACCAGCCUCGGUUUGAUAAUCCUAUCUAUGCUGUCGCUGAGAAUCGUUUGAUCUGCUUCUAAUUGUCCCUAUGGGACUGUCUCCUUUGAGGCAUACACUUGACUCUUGACCUCAAAUCAGGUAGGACUACCCGCUGAACUUAA